UGCGCCUGUCACUCAUUAUCUGUGUACCCACUUGUCACAUCUCUCCCAGGUUUUUAUUAUGUGAAGAACCUCUUCUGGUCUAGCUCGUUCUCUCUUCUCUCUCACAGCCCGGUAGAUACAACAGAAUGAAAGGUGCAGUGUAUAUCACUUGAUUCGUCAAUCAAAGAUCAAUGGAUCUUCCCUCUCAAAGCUAAUUAAAGUCCUUAACAUCUACAAAUGUACCCUGCAUCCUGUGUCCAAAUUAUUAUUAGUUUAAGAAACUACCUAAGUGAAAAAGAAGAUUUGAAGCAAUUCCUAGGAAAAUAAGAUAUACUGUUAACAGUGUGUGUAAUGAAAUGUUUAUGUGAUAUUUUCCAGUAUUAAUGAACUGUCUGGAUAAAUGCAUUAUUUCUGCUGCAAUUAGAACCUUGGUUUCCAAUUUCAGUGCUAUAUGUGUCACAUGACCUACACAGUUAUGAACACAGGAAAUCUAUGUCUACAAAAGCACUUGUCCUACUUACUUAAUGCUAAUUGCAUAUUCUCCAGACUCUUUGGUCCUGUGCCUUACAAGGUUCAGUGUCAAAGCCAGGACGAGUUCAGCAGAGAGUGUAGGUAAUGACAAGGAAGGCACAAGUGACAGUUGGAAAGCAGCAAGCGGUCUGAGGAGAAUUCCAUGCACUGGAAAGUAAGUGGCCUGGCCACAGACCAAAGCAAUCAGUACAAAGUAGAUUACAGGAAGUUGAUGAAUGGAAACAAGUCAUCCUGAUGUUUGAGGAAGAGAUGAUAGCUUCAUAAGCAACAUUUUCCCACACAAAGUAGGAUCACGUUAAGGUAAACAGUAGCAACCAAUAAUCAUGCCAGAGUAAAAGGUCUAAGUUAUGAUUAUUCUGCAUCUUGGUGAUGGCAAACACAUGUAGAAAGUUCAUCAAGACCACAUAUAUGCCACCCCUCUCUUUACACCUUUGCCUUCUAAUGCUCCAGAGCCAAAAAGGAGCCUGAAGUUGAACGCUCUUCCUGAUACGAUGUCUAUUGAUGUCUACUGGUAUGCUGAUUAAAGUCCUGCAUAUUGAAGGAAAGCCAUGGAAGCACAGCACAACAUGAACUGCUAGAAGUUCAGCAACACAGCCAUGAACAGAGAUGGAUAAGUCGCAGCGCAGAAGUAGAUGUCCACACAUGGCAACAAGACUUCAUUUCUAAGUUUUGACUCACAUGCUGAAAAAAAUACAUCCAUAUAUUAAAGAACAUGAAAAAUGAAAAGCAAGGGUAAAAAGCUGGCCAGGAAAGAGGAUGUCCUUCAUGUCAUGUCAUCUGUGUUUAACUCCUGGGCAUAUAAAAGAUGUCCCACAAUGCCACAAGCGCAUAGGCUCCACUAUGUUCAUAGCAGCCUUAUUUGUGAUAGCCAAAAGCUGGAAACAAUCAAGAUGUCCCACAAAGGAAGAAUGGAUACAGAAAAUUUGGUUCGUUUACACAAUGGAAUACUAUUCAACUAUUAAGAAUGAGGACAUCAUGAAUUUUGCAGGCAAAUGGAUGGAACUAGAAAGUAUCGUCCCGAAUGAGCUAUCUUAGACCCAAAGGGACAUGUAUGGUAUGUACUCACUAAUAAGUGGAUAUUAGCCAAAAAAAAAAAAAUACACAGAAUACACAGCACACAAUCCACAGAACUCAAGAAGGUUAACAAGGCAAAGGGCCCAAGUGAGGAUGUUCAUAGCAGCCUUAUUUGUGAUAGCCAAAAGCUGGAAACAAUCAAGAUGUCCCACAAAGGAAGAAUCCGACCUGGGAGCAAGAAGAAAGCAGAGCGCAGA
Apodemus sylvaticus (European woodmouse) is the source of this 1781-nucleotide long non-coding RNA. RefSeq lists it as uncharacterized. Lineage: Eukaryota; Metazoa; Chordata; Mammalia; Rodentia; Muridae. The transcript has 5 exons. The record is from RefSeq and is a predicted model, not a curated record.